AUACUUACCUGGUAGGGGAGAUACCAUGAUCACGAAGGUGGUUUUCCCAGAGGCUUAUCCAUUGCCCUCCGGAUGUGCUGACCCCUGCGAUUUCCCCAAAUGUGGGAAACUCGACUGCAUAAUUUGUGGUAAUGGGGGACUGUGUUCACACUUUCCUCCG
This 160-nucleotide small nuclear RNA is filed under the name Mandrillus leucophaeus (drill). RNAcentral describes it as "U1 spliceosomal RNA (ENSMLEG00000018775.1)". It matches the Rfam family "U1 spliceosomal RNA". From Rfam's summary of the family: U1 is a small nuclear RNA (snRNA) component of the spliceosome (involved in pre-mRNA splicing). Its 5' end forms complementary base pairs with the 5' splice junction, thus defining the 5' donor site of an intron. Lineage: Eukaryota; Metazoa; Chordata; Mammalia; Primates; Cercopithecidae. The record is from Rfam by way of RNAcentral.